CUACGGGAGGCCGCAGGGAAUUUUCUCUCACAUGGGCGAAAGCUGAUGGAAGCGACGCCGCGUGAGGGGAUGAAGGCCUCUAGGGUCGUAAACCAUCUUUUCUCAGGGAAGAGCAAGGACGGUACCUGAGGAAUAAAUGACGGC
RNAcentral lists this ribosomal RNA (144 nucleotides) under uncultured bacterium. Its description in RNAcentral is "partial 16S ribosomal RNA". It matches the Rfam family "Bacterial small subunit ribosomal RNA", at positions 339 to 497 of the family's 1533-position model. The record is from RNAcentral.